ACGCUGGCGGCGUGCUUAACACAUGCAAGUCGAACGAAGCUGUUGUUUGGAGACCUUCGGGUGGAAGAAUGACAGACUGAGUGGCGGACGGGUGAGUAACGCGUGGGUAACCUACCUUGCACAGGGGGACAACAGUUGGAAACGACUGCUAAUACCGCAUAAGACCACAGUACCGCAUGGUACAGGGGUAAAAACUGGGGUGGUGCAAGAUGGACCCGCGUCUGAUUAGCUAGUUGGUGGGGUAAAGGCCUACCAAGGCGACGAUCAGUAGCCGACCUGAGAGGGUGAUCGGCCACAUUGGGACUGAGACACGGCCCAAACUCCUACGGGAGGCAGCAGUGGGGAAUAUUGGACAAUGGGGGGAACCCUGAUCCAGCGACGCCGCGUGAGUGAAGAAGUAUUUCGGUAUGUAAAGCUCUAUCAGCAGGGAAGAAAAUGACGGUACCUGACUAAGAAGCCCCGGCUAACUACGUGCCAGCAGCCGCGGUAAUACGUAGGGGGCAAGCGUUAUCCGGAUUUACUGGGUGUAAAGGGAGCGCAGACGGCUUGGCAAGUCUGAAGCGAAAGCCCGGGGCUUAACCCCGGGACUGCUUUGGAAACUGUGAAGCUAGAGUGUCGGAGAGGUAAGUGGAAUUCCCAGUGUAGCGGUGAAAUGCGUAGAUAUUGGGAGGAACACCGGUGGCGAAGGCGGCUUACUGGACGAUAACUGACGUUGAGGCUCGAAGGCGUGGGGAGCAAACUGGAUUAGAUACCCUGGUAGUCCACGCGGUAAACGAUGAAUACUAGGUGUCGGGGGACAUAGUCUUUCGGUGCCGCCGCUAACGCAUUAAGUAUUCCACCUGGGGAGUACGUUCGCAAGAAUGGAACUCAAAGGAAUUGACGGGGACCCGCACAAGCGGUGGAGC
This 905-nucleotide ribosomal RNA is filed under the name uncultured bacterium. RNAcentral describes it as "bacterial SSU rRNA". It matches the Rfam family "Bacterial small subunit ribosomal RNA", at positions 33 to 938 of the family's 1533-position model. The record is from RNAcentral.